UUUCCGUAGGUGAACCUGCUGAAGGAUCAUUACCGAGUGGGGGUUUCUCAGGCACGACCUCACACCCUGUGUUUUUGUGACCUUGUUGCUUUGGCGGGCCCGCCUCGAUGCUAGGCCGCCGGAAGGUGACCGCUUUGGGCCCGUGACCGUCAGUAGCACCCUUAAAUUCUUAAUAAACCUGUCGUCUGAGUUAAGGGAUAUAAUGAAAAAAAACUUUCAACAACGGAUCUCUUGGUUCUG
This 240-nucleotide unclassified non-coding RNA is filed under the name plant metagenome. RNAcentral's name for it is "partial contains small subunit ribosomal RNA, internal transcribed spacer 1, and 5.8S ribosomal RNA". The record is from RNAcentral.